AGAGUUUGAUCCUGGCUCAGGACGAACGCGGCGGCGUGCUAACACAUGCAAGUCGAGCGGGGAGAGAUUUUCGGAUUUCUCUUAGCGGCGGACGGGUGAGUAACACGUGGGUAACCUGCCUCAAAGUGGGGGAUAGCCUUCCGAAAGGAAGAUUAAUACCGCAUAAUAUCAUAGCGCUGCAUGGCGCUGUGAUCAAAGGAGCAAUCCGCUUUGAGAUGGACCCGCGGCGCAUUAGCUAGUUGGUGAGGUAACGGCCCACCAAGGCGACGAUGCGUAGCCGACCUGAGAGGGUGAUCGGCCACAUUGGAACUGAGACACGGUCCAGACUCCUACGGGAGGCAGCAGUGGGGAAUAUUGCACAAUGGGGGAAACCCUGAUGCAGCAACGCCGCGUGAGUGAUGAAGGCCUUCGGGUCGUAAAGCUCUUUGAUCAGGGACGAUAAUGACGGUACCUGAAAAACAAGCCACGGCUAACUACGUGCCAGCAGCCGCGGUAAUACGUAGGUGGCGAGCGUUGUCCGGAUUUACUGGGCGUAAAGAAUGCGUAGGUGGAUAUUUAAGUGGGAUGUGAAAUCCCCGGGCUCAACCCGGGAACUGCAUACCAAACUGGAUAUCUGGAGUGCAGGAGAGGAAAGCGGAAUUCCUAGUGUAGCGGUGAAAUGCGUAGAUAUUAGGAGGAACACCAGUGGCGAAGGCGGCUUUCUGGACUGUAACUGACACUGAGGCAUGAAAGCGUGGGGAGCAAACAGGAUUAGAUACCCUGGUAGUCCACGCCGUAAACUAUGGGUACUAGGUGUAGGGGGUAUCGACUCCCCCUGUGCCGCCGUUAACACAAUAAGUACCCCGCCUGGGGAGUACGGUCGCAAGACUAAAACUCAAAGGAAUUGACGG
RNAcentral lists this ribosomal RNA (890 nucleotides) under methanogenic prokaryote enrichment culture B31_3_88. RNAcentral describes it as "bacterial SSU rRNA". It matches the Rfam family "Bacterial small subunit ribosomal RNA", at positions 8 to 916 of the family's 1533-position model. The record is from RNAcentral.